GGUCGAUGAUGAGCUGGCAUGUAUUCUGAAUCUAAAGUUGAUUUUUACUACUUUAGCUCUAGAAUUACUCUGAGACCUG
Molecule: small nucleolar RNA, 79 nt
Filed under: Cebus imitator (Panamanian white-faced capuchin)
Lineage: Eukaryota; Metazoa; Chordata; Mammalia; Primates; Cebidae
Description: Small nucleolar RNA SNORD45 (ENSCCAG00000001803.1)
Rfam family: Small nucleolar RNA SNORD45
About the family: U45 belongs to the C/D class of snoRNA which contain the C (UGAUGA) and D (CUGA) box motifs. Most of the members of the box C/D family function in directing site-specific 2'-O-methylation of substrate RNAs.
Source: Rfam by way of RNAcentral